CUUUUAUCCCAGUCGUGUGUAUGGAGUGGAGCUGCACCUGGUCGGCAUCAGUUCCCAUUCAGACCUGUAUGCGCCCAGCAGUGUUGUGACGGCUUGUGCACAACCUCAUCUGAUGUGCACCCCCAACCCAUGGAAAAUGUAUGGAUCCGUUUGGAAAAAAACUACAACACAGAUGUGAACAGAGCCUUAACAGGAUGCAUGAACGUGAUGUGAGCCUAGCUCUGCUCGGAACACCUGUUUUCCUGCCCGUCACCACACAGCUUUCUUUCAUUUCUGACCUAGUACAAGAUGUACCUCGUCUGCAUGAUAUCAGUAACACAAUAAUAAAUAGCUUCUUUCUACAUU
Long non-coding RNA from Bufo gargarizans (Asiatic toad), 345 nucleotides. RefSeq lists it as uncharacterized. The transcript is spliced from 2 exons. The record is from RefSeq and is a predicted model, not a curated record. Lineage: Eukaryota; Metazoa; Chordata; Amphibia; Anura; Bufonidae.